GGGCAUUUAACUCAGCGGGAGAGUACUACCUUCACACGGUAGGAGUCGCAGGUUCGAUCCCUGCAAUGCCCACCA
This 75-nucleotide transfer RNA is filed under the name Candidatus Wallbacteria bacterium. RNAcentral's name for it is "tRNA-Val". It matches the Rfam family "tRNA". From Rfam's summary of the family: Transfer RNA (tRNA) molecules are approximately 80 nucleotides in length. The record is from RNAcentral. Lineage: Bacteria; Candidatus Walliibacteriota.